This 560-nucleotide ribosomal RNA is filed under the name uncultured diatom. RNAcentral's name for it is "SSU rRNA". It matches the Rfam family "Eukaryotic small subunit ribosomal RNA", at positions 495 to 1057 of the family's 1831-position model. The record is from RNAcentral. Lineage: Eukaryota; Bacillariophyta.
UCUAGGUCUGGCAAUUGGAAUGAGAACAAUUUAAAUCCCUUAUCGAGGAUCAAUUGGAGGGCAAGUCUGGUGCCAGCAGCCGCGGUAAUUCCAGCUCCAAUAGCGUAUAUUAAAGUUGUUGCAGUUAAAAAGCUCGUAGUUGAAUUUCUGGUGGGAGUGUACAGUCCGACACUGAGUGUUGGUUCUUGUGUGUCUCCGGCCAUCCUUGGAGUGAAUCUAUCUGGCAUUCAGUUGUUGGGUAGAGUAUCUCCAUCGUUUACUGUGAGGAAAGGAAAGUGUUCAAAGCAGGCUUACGCCGUUGAAUCUUUUAGCAUGGAAUAAUAAGAUAGGAUCUUGAUACUAUUUUGUUGGUUUGCGUGUCGAGAUAAUGAUCAAUAGGGACAGUUGGGGGUAUUUGUAUUCCAUAGUCAGAGGUGAAAUUCUUGGAUUUAUGGAAGACAAACUAAUGCGAAAGCAUCUACCAAGGAUGUUUUCAUUAAUCAAGAACGAAAGUGUGGGGACCGAAGAUGAUUAGAUACCAUCGUAGUCUACACCAUAAACCAUGCCGACUCAGGGUUGAC